Molecule: ribosomal RNA, 500 nt
Filed under: uncultured bacterium
Lineage: Bacteria
Description: partial 16S ribosomal RNA
Rfam family: Bacterial small subunit ribosomal RNA
Source: RNAcentral
AUUGAACGCUGGCGGAAUGCUUUACACAUGCAAGUCGAACGGCAGCACGGACUUCGGUCUGGUGGCGAGUGGCGAACGGGUGAGUAAUGUAUCGGAACGUGCCCAGUCGUGGGGGAUAACGUAGUGAAAAUUACGCUAAUACCGCAUACGAUCUAUGGACGAAAGCGGGGGAUCGAAAGACCUCGCGCGAUUGGAGCGGCCGAAAUCAGAUUAGGUAGUUGGUGGGGUAAAGGCCCACCAAGCCAACGAUCUGUAGCUGGUCUGAGCGGACGACCAGCCACACUGGAACUGAGACACGGUCCAGACUCCUACGGGAGGCAGCAGUGGGGAAUUUUGGACAAUGGGCGAAAGCCUGAUCCAGCCAUUCCGCGUGCAGGAUGAAGGCCCUCGGGUUGUAAACUGCUUUUGUACAGAACGAAAAGGUUUCUACUAAUACUAGGAGCUCAUGACGGUACUGUAAGAAUAAGCACCGGCUAACUACGUGCCAGCAGCCGCAGUAA